Molecule: ribosomal RNA, 253 nt
Filed under: uncultured bacterium
Lineage: Bacteria
Description: partial 16S ribosomal RNA
Rfam family: Bacterial small subunit ribosomal RNA
Source: RNAcentral
GACGGAGGAUGCAAGCGUUAUCCGGAACGAUUGGGCGUAAAGCGUCCGCAGGUGGCAGUUCAAGUCUGCUGUCAAAGACCGGGGCUUAACUUCGGAAAGGCAGUGGAAACUGAACAGCUAGAGUAUGGUAGGGGCAGAGGGAAUUCCUGGUGUAGCGGUGAAAUGCGUAGAGAUCAGGAAGAACAUCGGUGGCGAAGGCGCUCUGCUGGACCAUAACUGACACUCAGGGACGAAAGCUAGGGGAGCGAAUGGG